GGCAAAUCUAUAUUAACAUAACGAGAAAAUCAUCCUUCAACAAGUUCCAUCAAAACAAUGGAUAACAAAUUAGCUAUUCAUAAUAGUAUGCAUAACUACAACACUAGAACUCAUAACCAAUAAUAAAAAUAGGAAGAAGGAAGUAAAAAACUCAUAGAAAAAUUCUCCGUCCUUCUCCUAGUGUGUUCUUGCCUUCAUAGGUCGAAUCUCCGAUUUCUAUGACGGCUUCGUGCUUUUUCGAGGACUAAUGUGUGUCCAGAGUCUCCAAAAUAAUAUUUUUCCAUGUAUAUAUACUAAGUAGGGUCGGGCCCAGAUGAAAAUACCUUCUCCCAUGCGAAAUAGAAUAAUCACUCUGUAAUAUUUGUAAAGGAGCGCCGCAUGGGGCGACGCACUGUACGGCACAGCAGUGGGGAGGUUCAAAGAUCUCUUUUCUAACAAACUAUUGGAAAAUUGCACACGUGCGGUGCACUCUGUGGCACACUGUGCGGUGCGGUGGUGGAAAUCCACGAAAA
Molecule: long non-coding RNA, 512 nt
Filed under: Nicotiana benthamiana
Lineage: Eukaryota; Viridiplantae; Streptophyta; Magnoliopsida; Solanales; Solanaceae
Description: long non-coding RNA (NBEN_LNC002566)
Source: RNAcentral